AGAACUUAGCAGAGAUGCUUUGGUGCCUUCGGGAACUCUGAGACAGGUGCUGCAUGGCUGUCGUCAGCUCGUGUUGUGAAAUGUUGGGUUAAGUCCCGCAACGAGCGCAACCCUUAUCCUUUGUUGCCAGCGAUUCGGUCGGGAAACUCAAAGGAGACUGCCAGUGAUAAACUGGAGGAAGGUGGGGAUGACGUCAAGUCAUCAUGGCCCUUACGAGUAGGGCUACACACGUGCUACAAUGGCGCAUACAAAGAGAAGCGACCUCGCGAGAGCAAGCGGACCUCAUAAAGUGCGUCGUGGUCCGGAUUGGAGUCUGCAACUCGACUCCAUGAAGUCGGAAUCGCUAGUAAUCGUAGAUCAGAAUGCUACGGUGAAUACGUUCCCGGGCCUUGUACACACCGCCCGUCACACCAUGGGAGUGGGUUGCAAAAGAAGUAGGUAGCUUAACUUUCGGGAGGGCGCUUACCACUUUGUGAUUCAUGACUGGGGUGAAGUCGUAACAAGGUAAGCGUAGUGCU
This 518-nucleotide ribosomal RNA is filed under the name uncultured bacterium. RNAcentral's name for it is "bacterial SSU rRNA". It matches the Rfam family "Bacterial small subunit ribosomal RNA", at positions 992 to 1509 of the family's 1533-position model. The record is from RNAcentral.